AAACAACUCUCGGCAACGGAUAUCUCGGCUCUCGCAUCGAUGAAGAACGUAGCAAACUGCGAUACUUGGUGUGAAUUGCAGAAUCCCGUGAACCAUCGAGUCUUUGAACGCAAGUUGCGCCCGAAGCCAUUAGGCCGAGGGCACGUCUGCCUGGGCGUCACGCAUCGCGUCGAUCCCCCUACACGCCUUCUCAGGCGGUGAGUGGGGGACGGAUAUUGGCCUCCCGUGCUAGCGCGCGGUUGGCCUAAAUGAGAGUCCCACCCCACGGGCGUCGCGACAAGUGGUGGUUGAAUGCCUCAACUCGCAUAUCUGUCGUGUCGGAACCCGUCGCUCGUGCGGACAGCCGUGACCCUGAACGCCAGCAUCUCUUUGACGCUCGGCCACGACCGCGACCCCAGGUCAGGCGGAUUACCCGCUGAGUUUAAGCAUAUCAAUAAGCGGAGGAAAAGAAACUAACAAGGAUUCCCCUAGUAACGGCGAGCGAACCGGGAACA
This 494-nucleotide ribosomal RNA is filed under the name Strychnos wallichiana. RNAcentral's name for it is "eukaryotic LSU rRNA". The stretch from base 5 to 160 matches the Rfam family "5.8S ribosomal RNA". Lineage: Eukaryota; Viridiplantae; Streptophyta; Magnoliopsida; Gentianales; Loganiaceae. The record is from RNAcentral.